UCCAUUUGCUUCUCUCCCAACUCACCAUAGCAGAUUACAUCCAGACCAGGUUACCGGCCACCGGUGCUACCGACCUUCUGCCAUCUUCAUCUUCGCAUAUCUGCUUCGAUUUCAAACCAAGUGAACUUAUGAGCCAGUGUAGGGUAUGAUUUAGUUGGAUUUUGGUCGGCUUCUUUUCAUCGAUGUUCUCAUGUACAUGUGCCGAUUUGCUGCUGAUUAAUUGAUUGAAUCGGCUGUGACCCGGUUUAGGGUUCCUACAAAUGCUGACUGAAAAGAUACCCUCUUUAGCUGGGAUCACCAAGAAGCACAAUCAAAGUUCAUGUGGAAUAGCACAAGAUAUUUUAAUAAAAAACCUAAUACAAAAGAUGUAUCAGUCAACAUCACUAAGUUGAUAGCAAGAUGGCAUGUGUUGGCAGGUAUAGUGUUAAUGCCAUUAUCAAUGAAGCAACAAAACCCACUGAGGUAACUUUCUUCAGUGAAGGCAUGGCAGUCCUCUGCCCUCCUCAAGACAAGCUGCGAAGACCUUAUAACAAAGCACAGUUGCACCAAUCCUAAACGCUCCCACAACAAAUGGCGUCAAUGAUAGGCGAGGCAAGGCUGAUGCACGUCUCGACAAGGAAGGAAGGGCAUGUGGUAGUAACAAACGUGACAAAAGCUGAGACAGUAAGCGAAUACUAUCCAACCUCUCAAGAACAUAGUGUCUUGGCAAUCCCUCCCACAACACCUAACCCAAAAAUCAACCAGAAAAAACAUCCGCCAAUUGGGUCACCAGGUGCAUCACUUAAUACCAUUUAACAACAAACCUAUCUCUUAAAUGUGGUUGUAUGUCGUGUCUUACUUAAUUACCUUAACGUAAGCAACUUGACUCAAUUGGUACAUCAGUUGGCAUCUUAGCUAUUGGGAUUAGAGGUACUAUUUUUAGACUUGCUUUCAACUGUUGUAAUUCAUAAUUGUAUUUUCAAGACAUUACACUUUGGUUAAUGUUAGGAAAUAAGCUUUUCUUUAACUAAUGUCCUUUUUUUUCCCCAUAGCACUGCAGAGUCAAGCCGCGUUGCAAAGAAGGCACGUGAAGAAGAAUGAUCACUUAGAAGACUGCUUUUUGGAUGGCUGCACCCUGGAACACUGUGUAGCCCGCAUCACCUACAUCCAUAAUCUUAUAAAAACGCACAUAGGAAGCACCUUAUGUACAAGUUAUCUACCUAACACACUUGGUGUUAGUAAGAUAAGUUGUACACAAAUCAAUACAAAAACAUUUUGUAGGUUGACUAGGCGAGGUAAAUGAAACAAAAAAAGUUCAUUUAACACACA
Helianthus annuus (common sunflower) is the source of this 1308-nucleotide long non-coding RNA. RefSeq lists it as uncharacterized. The record is from RefSeq and is a predicted model, not a curated record. NCBI's taxonomy places the organism in Eukaryota, Viridiplantae, Streptophyta, Magnoliopsida, Asterales, Asteraceae. The transcript has 2 exons.